CUGUGCAUCAGCUUCGGCCCAUUGCCUUAUCCUAAAGGCAACGGGGAUAAGCUUGGGAUAAGCAUUGGGAUAAACUGGUAUAGGCAAUGCAUAGGGUGCAAGAGGAUAUCAGCAUCCUGCUUCUUUCACAGGGUUUGCAGAAUUAGUAGCUGCUGACUUUUCCUGGUUUUCUUGUCUAUGUAUUUGUCUCAGGGCACCUCUCUUACUGUAUGCUUGUCAAAUCCCUACCUGUAAGGUUUUUAAAGGCUUUAGUAUUAUUUUACAGUCAUUCUUCAACAGCAUUUUCUCAUUCUUCAACUUUGUUUUCACACUUCAGCUGAAAUUUGCCCAAACAGCUGAGCACAAAAUGUACCCAAGAACAGGAAAACCCCAAGUACACAGUAAUUUCCUUCAAAUGUCUUCAAAGCUUUACAGGAACUUCAAAAUCACCAAAAACUGUAAACUAGGAACACAUAAUUUGAAAUUGGAAGGGGCCUUAAGUAAUUUCUAUUACACUGCUUUUCUACAACACAGCUCCAUUUCAAUAUAUUGAAUAAUUCCUGGAGUUUUUCAAUGAUUCUCCAUAGUAUCAUUUUAGAAAUGAAAGAAAUGUGUGUUCAUCCAUUGGUUCGAGACCUUAAGUCCUCCCAGGAGAAUCACAAAAUGAACAUAAUGUUCCAAGAGCUGGAUCACUGGUUAAGCUGAUAGAUGUGAAAACUCUAGUAGCUAGAUAAUAAGUUAUUGGCUGCAGUUCUAAGAGUGAAUAAAUUAUUUUAAGCUUCAUAGUAAUUCAUGCUCACAAAAUGAGUAAGGGUACCAUCUGUUAGAGUACAGAUAAUACAAAAUUCUUUUAAUUUGAAAUUAAAUUGCUCACUUUUGACACAGCUGUGUCACUGGUGAACAGUCCUUAUAUUGAAGUCCUAUAGAAGCAGAAACUUACCUUUUCUGAACAAUGGCAAAAAAAUCACUUAGGCCUAUAAGCAAGGUAGAUGGAAAUGUAGUAAAUAAUUUUGGAGUAAUAUAUGUGGGGGGGAUAUUUGAACUCUAAAAGUGGGAAAAAUGAUAAAGGAAGAAAGAAGGUAGUAAAACUAUUUGGGAGUGUGGAAUAGUUUCAGGUUAACUCGCAUGUUCUCCAGCAGUGUUAAAACUUCAAAUAAGCAGGGGAUCCUGCACCAGGAAACACAGGUACUCUCUAUGCCCAACUCACUUCACCUCCAUGUUUCUAAUAAAAGCCUCAACUAACUCCUGAAGUUCUCAUUCAUCUCCCUAGAGAGCUUACAGUCAUGCCUCCAAAGUAAUUUAAAUAAUUUAAGGCAAUGGAUGUGCAUACAGAAGCUGAAAAUCUGGGUAGAAUCUGGUUUUAAUAUAUUUUUUAUUUUAUUGCCUAUCUACGGUAUUAUCUAAAAGUAAUUAAUUUGUGCUGCUUCUAGAGGAAGUGGGAUAAUUUCCUAUACUUCAUAAAUAUUUUUACUAAUUCCUAUUGGAGAAAGAUAGAAAUUUAGUUUUAAUUACAUAAUUGCAGUGAACAAAAGAAAUUAUUAGUAUAAUAGGAAAAAUGACCUGAAGUAGAUUUGAAGAGCUGUAUUAUACUUCUUCCUCUUCUCUCUCACAAGAAGCAUGGGGAAUCUAUGCAUUCCACCUCCCUGUGCUGGUAGUUUGCCAAGUCAGAGGAAAUUACUUGAGUCUACCACAGUUUACUAUUCAUAUUACAAAGUACAAGACAGAAUAGCUGCAGUGGAUUGUCAAACACAGAACAGUCAGGUUUUCCACUGCCAAGCAAGUUCCUGGUUCAGCUCCAAGGGAAAAGCCAACAGCUCUCCUGCACAGGAGAACAGGAAGACACUGAUAUAAGGUCAGUCAUAAUGAGCACCAGUAUUAGCACUUCAGUUGCCUUUAUUUUCUUUUUUCCUUUGUGGGAGCAGGGGGUGGUAGGUCGUAGGGAAAAAUAAAAUUUUCUUAAUUUAUAUGCGGGACAUAGAUAAAUCUUUUCAAGUGUUUCCUCACACCUUUUCCUACAUGUAAGAGCCAGCACAGGAGGAGGCAUAACCUGCUUACUAGAUAUAAUAAUAAAUGAAUGAUCAAAGUUCUGUAUCUCUAGGUGGUUGCUGGAUAAUAAAUAAAAUAGGAGACUAAGAACUUUUAAGGUUUUCACUUUAAAAACCAGAUUUUAAAAAUUAUUAUUAUUAUUACUGUUAAUGGAAAAGGAUGCAGUGCUUUGAUGAUGUGAUAAUCUUAUACCAGAGGAGUAAGAAUAUGAUCUUUGUAGUGGUAGCCUGAGUGGCUACAAGAAAAGAGAAAUUGUAUUCACUAAGGUCGGAGAAAACAUUACAGAAAUUAGACACAACUUAAUUAGAAUUGUAAAAUAAGAUUACUUCCUUAGAUAUGAUACAGAAAAGUAUGAUACAUUUAAGAAGGCAUAUGAUAAAGUAAAUGCUAAUUGCAGGCCUGAAGGACAGGCAAAAAAGUGUUCUUUUCUAUAGUGGCUGUGAAAGGAAGUAAUAGGCUAUAGAGAAGGUAUAAAGACUUCUGGUUUAGAGGUCAUAUAUUUCUGUUUUAGGAAUAUUGAGAGAACAUUUAAAAUCCUGAACAAAGGCAGUGUCUGGAAUAGAGGUGCAAGUAUAAAUCAUCCAUAACUAAUUAUGAGAUUACUGAAUGGUAUGGAAGGUAUGAGAUUACAUAAAGGGUAUGGGGGGAAAUAAGAUAGAACAAUGACACUGUUGUAAUGAUUUCUACAGUAAAAGAAAGUCUCCUUGGGUAGGCAUCUUGAAAAAUAUUCAGGGCACAGAAGACAAUACAGCCAUGAAAGACUGACAGCAGAGAGCACAAUUUCAAGAAGAAAAUCAUGCUGGUAGUGUCAAACACCCUAGGGAACAGAGCAAUGGUUUUGAUCUUGGACCACCAGAAUGAAAAGUCUCAAAUCAAAAAGCAGUUCUAAAGCUGUGUCAUCUGAAAGACUGUAUUUUGGUCUCAUAGCUCAAAGACGAGAGGAAUAGACCAGGGUUGGAAGGGACCUUAAAGAUCAUCUUGUUCCAGUCCUUCUGCCAUUGACAAGGACACCUUCCACUGGAACAGGCUGCUCAAAGCCCCAUGAUACAAAAAAUAAACUGAUGUGAUAAAGUAUUUUGGCAGAUUAAAUUGGGUACUUUUAUUUGUAAUGCUACUUUUAGUCUAAGUAUUCCAUGAAUAGUUUCCUUUUUGGUUAGCAGCUUAAUAUCUUAUAUCAGGAAUUAUGUCACAAUUUGGGUAUUUUCCCCCUCUUCUUUAGGAUUUAGUCCAAAUUCUUAGAAUAUCUGUGCUGAAGGGUGGUGGAAGCAGCACAGUUCCAGGGAACACAGACAAUGUUUCUGCACAAGCUGGAUACAAUCAUGAAGAAAAUUCACCUACAGUAAGAGACGUCAUUAAUAUUCUAAGUGCUUUGUGAGUAAUCAUGCAGCUGCUACCAUGCCAUUGUUUAAUGAGCUCCCAGUGUAGAGCUCUCCAGUGUGACACCAUGGGUUCUCAGAAUCCCAGGGGGUUCUCAGAAUCCAAGGGGGUUCUCAGAAUCCCAGUUUGGCCAGGCCUCCUGCACCCACUGUGCUGCUCCAGUACUGGAGGCACAGCACCCAGAGAGGCACAGGGAGCUGAGUGUUUCCAGAACUUCCUGCUGGGAUCCCUCCCAGCCCUGAGGGAUGCUGAGCUGAAGCUGUUUCAGUCUUUGGGUGCUGCCUUGCCUGGCUAGAAGGGACUGAGCAGUGCCAGGCUGUAGUCACAGCCACUUUUCAGGACCUGCAGCUCCAGCUGCAGCCCGAAUACAUCACCAUAAACUGUGAAGCAGGAGUCUGGGGAACAAACAGUUCAUAUAGGUCUGCACAAAAGGAUUAGAACACUUAUUAAAAAUAAAUGCUAGUGCUUCAGUAA
This is a non-coding RNA of Taeniopygia guttata (zebra finch), 3876 nucleotides long. NCBI's taxonomy places the organism in Eukaryota, Metazoa, Chordata, Aves, Passeriformes, Estrildidae. The record is from RefSeq and is a predicted model, not a curated record.